Molecule: transfer RNA, 69 nt
Filed under: Marmota monax (woodchuck)
Lineage: Eukaryota; Metazoa; Chordata; Mammalia; Rodentia; Sciuridae
Description: tRNA.Val
Source: RNAcentral
GGAUUGUGGCUCAGCAGGUAGAGCACUUGUCUCACAUGCGCAUGACCCUGCGUUCGAGCCUCAGCACCA